UCCCUGGUAGUAUAUCGGUUAGUACACGCGCCUGUCAUAAGUCAGUAAGAGCGUAGUUUCGCGCGAAAGCUGGGUUCGACUCCCAGCCAGGGAG
Lentinula boryana is the source of this 94-nucleotide non-coding RNA. Lineage: Eukaryota; Fungi; Basidiomycota; Agaricomycetes; Agaricales; Omphalotaceae. The record is from the annotation of a GenBank genome assembly.